GGCUUACACUUGAUCUCUGAACCUCAGGUAAGUCCUGUUGAGACAUAAAAAAAAUUAACUGAUGCC
Molecule: small nucleolar RNA, 66 nt
Organism: Beta vulgaris subsp. vulgaris (sugar beet)
Lineage: Eukaryota; Viridiplantae; Streptophyta; Magnoliopsida; Caryophyllales; Amaranthaceae
Rfam family: Small nucleolar RNA snoR101
Source: Rfam